Molecule: microRNA, 21 nt
Filed under: Sarcophilus harrisii (Tasmanian devil)
Lineage: Eukaryota; Metazoa; Chordata; Mammalia; Dasyuromorphia; Dasyuridae
Description: Sha-Mir-7394-P2_5p* (star (passenger))
Source: RNAcentral
ACACAUAUGCCAAGGUGACAU